GAUGAACGCUGACAGAAUGCUUAACACAUGCAAGUCAACUUGAAUUUGGGUUUUUUAACUUAGAUUUGGGUGGCGGACGGGUGAGUAACGCGUAAAGAACUUGCCUCACAGCUAGGGACAACAUUUGGAAACGAAUGCUAAUACCUGAUAUUAUGAUUAUAAGGCAUCUUAGAAUUAUGAAAGCUAUAUGCGCUGUGAGAGAGCUUUGCGCCCCAUUAGCUAGUUGGAGAGGUAACGGCUCACCAAGGCGAUGAUGGGUAGCCGGCCUGAGAGGGUGAACGGCCACAAGGGGACUGAGACACGGCCCUUACUCCUACGGGAGGCAGCAGUGGGGAAUAUUGGACAAUGGACCAAGAGUCUGAUCCAGCAAUUCUGUGUGCACGAUGACGUUUUUCGGAAUGUAAAGUGCUUUCAGUUGGGAAGAAAAAAAUGACGGUACCAACAGAAGAAGUGACGGCUAAAUACGUG
This 468-nucleotide ribosomal RNA is filed under the name uncultured bacterium. RNAcentral's name for it is "partial 16S ribosomal RNA". It matches the Rfam family "Bacterial small subunit ribosomal RNA", at positions 28 to 507 of the family's 1533-position model. The record is from RNAcentral.